RNAcentral lists this ribosomal RNA (321 nucleotides) under Globigerinita uvula. Its description in RNAcentral is "bacterial SSU rRNA". It matches the Rfam family "Eukaryotic small subunit ribosomal RNA", at positions 1185 to 1433 of the family's 1831-position model. Lineage: Eukaryota; Foraminifera; Rotaliida; Globigerinitidae. The record is from RNAcentral.
GUGGCUUAAUUUGACUCAACGCGGGAAAUCUUACCGGGUCCGGACACACUGAGGAUUGACAGGCAAUAUAUGCUUUGCUUACUCUUCGGGGUAGGNACUGCAUUGUUAAAUAUGCUAGUCCUUUCAUGAUNAUGUGANAGGUGGCGCAUGGCCGNUCUUANUUCGUGGAGUGAUCUGNCUGCUUAAUUGCGUUUCACUUAUUUUAUAGGAUCUAAUAUUAAUGAUGUGUGAGCGACUCGCAUGCUCUUGACCCACACUUGUUUACUCAGGUGGUCCGUGCGUCAUUAUAGGCUUUUGCUUGACCUCCCAUCUUUUAGCUAU